GACGAACGCUGGCGGCGUGGAUUAGGCAUGCAAGUCGAACGGUAUCAUCCUUUCGGGGGUGAGAGAGUGGCGAACUGGUGAGUAACACGUAGGUUAUCUACCCUCAAGAUUGGGACAACCCAGGGAAACCUUGGGCUAAUACCGGAUGAAAGCAGCAGUGAUGUUGUUUGAAAGGUGGCGUAAGCUGCCGUUUGGGGAUGAGCCUGCGCUCUAUUAGUUAGUUGGCGGGGUAAAGGCCCACCAAGGCGAUGAUAGAUAGGCGGCCUUAACGGGUGGUCGCCCACACUGGGAUUGAGAUACGGCCCAGACUCCUACGGGAGGCAGCAGUCGAGAAUAGUCUACAAUGGCCGAAAGGCUGAUAGUGCGACGCCGCGUGAACGAAGAAGCCCUUCGGGGUGUAAAGUUCUUUUAUAUGUGAGCAGUGCUUUCUAUGUGAACAGCAUGGGGAGAGAGAUAUUAGCAUAUGAAUAAGCAACGGCUAACUCCGUGCCAGCAGCC
This 498-nucleotide ribosomal RNA is filed under the name uncultured bacterium. RNAcentral's name for it is "bacterial SSU rRNA". It matches the Rfam family "Bacterial small subunit ribosomal RNA", at positions 28 to 516 of the family's 1533-position model. The record is from RNAcentral.